UACGAAGGGGGCUAGCGUUGUUCGGAUUUACUGGGCGUAAAGCGCACGUAGGCGGUUUGUUAAGUCGGAUGUGAAAUCCCUCGGCUCAACUGAGGAAGUGCAUCCGAAACUGGCAAGCUUGAGUACGAAAGAGGGUCGCGGAAUUCCCGGUGUAGAGGUGAAAUUCGUAGAUAUCGGGAGGAACACCGGUGGCGAAGGCGGCGACCUGGGUCGAUACUGACGCUGAGGUGCGAAAGCGUGGGGAGCAAACAGG
This 253-nucleotide ribosomal RNA is filed under the name uncultured bacterium. RNAcentral's name for it is "partial 16S ribosomal RNA". It matches the Rfam family "Bacterial small subunit ribosomal RNA", at positions 524 to 776 of the family's 1533-position model. The record is from RNAcentral.